Molecule: ribosomal RNA, 253 nt
Filed under: uncultured bacterium
Lineage: Bacteria
Description: partial 16S ribosomal RNA
Rfam family: Bacterial small subunit ribosomal RNA
Source: RNAcentral
UACAGAGGUGGCAAGCGUUGUUCGGAAUUACUGGGCGUAAAGCGUGCGCAGGCGGUUCGUUAAGUUCGUUGUGAAAGCCCCGGGCUCAACCUGGGAACUGCAAUGGAAACUGGCGGGCUUGAGUGUGGCAGAGGGGGGUGGAAUUCCGCGUGUAGCAGUGAAAUGCGUAGAGAUGCGGAGGAACACCGAUGGCGAAGGCAGCCCCCUGGGCCAACACUGACGCUCAGGCACGAAAGCGUGGGGAGCAAACAGG